GAUGAACGCUAGCGGCAGGCCUAACACAUGCAAGUCGAGGGGUAGCAGGAUUAAGCUUGCUUAAUUGCUGACGACCGGCGCACGGGUGCGUAACGCGUAUGCAACCUACCUUAUACUGGGGUAUAGCCCGGAGAAAUUCGGAUUAAUCCCCCAUAGUACUAAUGAAUCGCAUGGUUUAUUAGUUAAAGCAUUGCGGUAUAAGAUGGGCAUGCGUCCUAUUAGCUAGAUGGUGAGGUAACGGCUCACCAUGGCUACGAUAGGUAGGGGGCCUGAGAGGGUGGUCCCCCACACUGGAACUGAGACACGGACCAGACUCCUACGGGAGGCAGCAGUGAGGAAUAUUGGUCAAUGGGCGCAAGCCUGAACCAGCCAUGCCGCGUGCAGGAAGAAUGCCCUAUGGGUUGUAAACUGCUUUUAUGUGGGAAUAAACCUCUUUACGUGUAGAGAGCUGAAGGUACCAAAUGAAUAAGCACCGGCUAACUCCGUGCCAGCAGCCGCCGUAA
This 503-nucleotide ribosomal RNA is filed under the name uncultured bacterium. RNAcentral's name for it is "partial 16S ribosomal RNA". It matches the Rfam family "Bacterial small subunit ribosomal RNA", at positions 28 to 523 of the family's 1533-position model. The record is from RNAcentral.